Homo sapiens (human) is the source of this 829-nucleotide long non-coding RNA. The record is from Ensembl. Lineage: Eukaryota; Metazoa; Chordata; Mammalia; Primates; Hominidae.
CCUGCUGGCCUGGAGCUGAUUGACGCUUUCCUGCCCCAGCAGUUGAGAAGUCCAUUUAUUUCCCUCCAGGGGCCUCACAGACCCAUUUACCCCAGAGCUGUGGGUCUGGGGGAUUCAAAGAGAGACCUGGUGACUGUGACAGCCUCUGGAAACCUGAGUCGACAUUGUCUGCUGGGCAUUAGUGGUGAUGCCCCAGAGACAGGAUCUUGCUCUGUUGCCCAGGCGAGAGUGCAGUGGCAUGAUCACAGCUCAUUGCAGCCUUGACCUCCUGUGCUCAAGCAAUCCUCCUGCCUCAGCCUCCAGAGUAGCUGAGACUACAAGCACCCACCACCGCGCCUGGAUAAUUUUUAAACUUUUUAGAGAUGGUAUCUCACUGUGUUACCCAGGCUGGCCUCAAACCCCUGGCUCCAAGCAAUCUUCCUGCCUCAGCCUCCCAAAGUGCUGGGAUUACAGGUAUGAGCCACCAUGCUUCGCCUUGUGAGCUAAUUUGCAAGAAUGGAACAAUGAAGACUCCUAGACCUACUCACCUGCCUUAAAGAUAUGCUAUUGUCCCCCAGAGAGGUGGCAAAAUGGUUUGUAUUUUUGUCUUAAGCCUUGGACUUUUAAAAUCCUGGAUUUUGAUGUGUGUGCAGAAGAGAACUAAGAUAGCGUGCUUGAGACCGCUCUCCUUUAAAAGGCCUGCUUGCAAGAGUAGCCUCUGACUGGCAUCUGGGAACUUGGAUCUUGAGAGAGUUGCCACCAUUCUCUAACUUUGCUGUGCUGCUUUGCUGUGCCUGAACUGUUUGCACACAAAAUGGGGUUUAUGCAGAACACCUGCUUGCCCUCUGGA